UUGACUUCUAAAUGAGAAUUGUUAUGAUUAUCACAUCUGGUCGCGAGGCCAGUGAUGAUUUGAAAGACCUUGGUUCGGACUCUCAGAUUAUCUCCUCAUCAGGCUAAUCACGGUUAUUGACCCGGCACUUUGCCGGGUCUUUUUUUG
RNAcentral lists this small RNA (147 nucleotides) under Pseudomonas sp. M47T1. RNAcentral's name for it is "PrrF RNA". It matches the Rfam family "PrrF RNA". From Rfam's summary of the family: PrrF RNA is a small RNA involved in iron homeostasis and is found exclusively in Pseudomonas species. Their expression is induced under iron limitation by the ferric uptake regulator (Fur) and they act to negatively regulate several genes including sodB and sdh. Lineage: Bacteria; Pseudomonadati; Pseudomonadota; Gammaproteobacteria; Pseudomonadales; Pseudomonadaceae. The record is from Rfam by way of RNAcentral.